This is a long non-coding RNA of Cucurbita moschata (crookneck pumpkin), 268 nucleotides long. RefSeq lists it as uncharacterized. The record is from RefSeq and is a predicted model, not a curated record. NCBI's taxonomy places the organism in Eukaryota, Viridiplantae, Streptophyta, Magnoliopsida, Cucurbitales, Cucurbitaceae. The transcript is spliced from 2 exons.
UGAAAACUCUCCCGACAUGUUUUAAAAUCUUGAGAGAAAACAAAAACUUUUGAAAGAUCUUGGAAAAGCUCUACUGUUUUGAAGUCUUUGUGUGUUCAUUUGUAUUGUUUUUUGUAGGGUACAUUUUUUCAUUUCAUAGCAAAAUAAUGCAUGUAGGUUUCAAUGAAUGAUAAAUAACUGACAAAUUUGUGAAAUGACCUUUAGGGCUGUUUAGUACAAAUCUGUAAGAUGGUAAAAAGAACAGAGCAAGGCUUACACUGUUAGCUCA